Small nucleolar RNA from Rattus norvegicus (Norway rat), 132 nucleotides. Ensembl annotates it as small nucleolar RNA SNORA17. NCBI's taxonomy places the organism in Eukaryota, Metazoa, Chordata, Mammalia, Rodentia, Muridae. The record is from Ensembl.
ACUGUCCCUAGAGGCACUGCAAGUGUGGCUGCUGUGUCAUGUGUGAAUCAGUAGGUGCUAGAAAGGAGGGAGGCUGUGCCUGUGCUCGGUGUUCUGACCUGUGAACAUCUGAGUGACUAGUAGCCUAACAUU